AUCUUUGCGCUUGGGGCAAUGACGCAGCUAGUGAGGUUAUAACGAGGUGCGUCAAUUGCUGGUUGAAAACUAUUUUCAAACCCCCUCUUUGGCCCUUCGGGGCCACUGAGAAUUUUUGGAAGGAAUUUUU
This 130-nucleotide small nuclear RNA is filed under the name Triticum aestivum (bread wheat). RNAcentral describes it as "U4 spliceosomal RNA". It matches the Rfam family "U4 spliceosomal RNA". Rfam says of the family: U4 small nuclear RNA (U4 snRNA) is a component of the major U2-dependent spliceosome. The structure of U4 snRNA from yeast and human has been reported. RNAcentral also lists the same sequence under 1 other name. Lineage: Eukaryota; Viridiplantae; Streptophyta; Magnoliopsida; Poales; Poaceae. The record is from Rfam by way of RNAcentral.